RNAcentral lists this ribosomal RNA (254 nucleotides) under uncultured bacterium. RNAcentral's name for it is "partial 16S ribosomal RNA". It matches the Rfam family "Bacterial small subunit ribosomal RNA", at positions 524 to 775 of the family's 1533-position model. The record is from RNAcentral.
UACGGGGGGAGCAAGCGUUGUUCGGAUUUACUGGGCGUAAAGGGCGCGUAGGCGGUCAGCACAAGUCAGUUGUGAAAUCUCCGGGCUUAACUCGGAAAGGUCAACUGAUACUGUGCGACUAGAGUGCAGAAGGGGCAACUGGAAUUCUCGGUGUAGCGGUGAAAUGCGUAGAUAUCGAGAGGAACACCUGCGGCGAAGGCGGCUCUCUGGGACGGUACUGACGCUGAGACGCGAAAGACGUGGGAGGCGAACGG